UAAUUGUUGCUUCCUGUUAUUUUUGUUGUUAGAGGUGGGAUUCUGUUCUUGUGGCUAUCUUCUUUUAGGUCUGUUGGAGGAUUACUUUCUUGAUUCUUCUAGGGUGUAAUUCCCUCCUUGUGUUGGACUUUUCCCUUUAAUAUCCUUUGAAGGGCUGGAUUCAUGGAAAGAUAUUUUGUGAAUUUGUUUUUUUAUGGAAUAUUUUGGUUUCUCCAUCUAUGGUAAUUGAGAGUUUUGCUGAGUAUAGUAGCCUGGGCUGGCAUUUGUGUUCUCUUAGAGUCUGUAUAACAUCUGUCCAGUAUCGUCUGGCUUCCAUAGUCUCUAGUGAGAAGUCUGGUGUAAUUCCAAUAUGUCUUCCUUUAUAUGUUACUUGACCUUUUUCCCUUACUGCUUUUAAUAUUCUAUCUUUAUUUAGUGCAUUUGUUGUUUUGAUUAUUAUGUGUUGGGAGGAAUUUCUUUUCUUGUCAAGUCCAUUUGGAGUUCCAUAGGCUUCUUGUAUGUUCAUGGCAUCUCUUUCUUUAGGUUAGGGAAAUUUUUUAUAAUUUUGUUGAAGAUAUUUAUUGGCCCUUUAAGUUGAAAAUCUCGAUUCUCCUCUACUCCUAUUAUCCGUAGGUUUGGUCUUCUCGUUGUGUCCUGGAUUUCCUGGGUGUUUUGAGUUAGGAUCUCUUUGCAUUUUACAUUUUCUUUGACUGUUGUGUCUGUGUUUUCUAUGGAAACAUCUGCACCUUAGAUUCCCUUUUCCAACUCUUGUAUUCUGUUGCUGAUGCUUAUAUCUAUGGUUCCUGAUGUCUUUCCUAGGAUUUCUAUCUCCAGAGUUGUCUCCCUUUGGGUUUUCUUUAUUGUUUCUACUUACAUUUUUAGAUAUUGGAUGGUUUUGUUCAAUUUUAUCACCUUGUUUGGUUAUAUUUUCUUGUAGUUCUUUAAGGGAUUUUUGUGUUUCCUCUUUAAGGACUUCUACCAUUUAGCAGUUUUUUCCUGUAAUUCGUUUAGGGAUUAUUGUGCUUCUUCUUUAAGUACUUCUACCUGUUUAGCAGUGUUCUCCUUUAUUUCUUUAGGUGAGUUAUUAAUGCCCUUCUUAAAACCCUCUACCAGCAUCAUGAGAUAUGAUUUUAAAUCCACAUCUUGCUUUUUGGGUGUGUUGGGGUAUCUAGGACUCGCUGUGGUGGGAGUACUGGGUUCUGAUGAUGCCGAGUGGUCUUGGUUUCUGUUAGUAAGCUUCUUACAUUUGCCUUUUGCCAUCUGGUAAUCUCUGGUGUUAGAUGUUCUAGCUGUCUCUGGCUGGAACUUUUUCCUCCUGUGAUUCUGGUAGUCUCUGUCAGCAGUCCUGGGAGUCCAACUCUCUCCUGAGUCCCAGUGGUCAGAACACUCUCUGCAGGCAACCUUUCUUCUGGCAGGAAAGGUGCACAGAGGUCUGGAGCUCAGCUCUGACUCCUGGUUGAAGAUGAGGCCCGAAAAGGGACCCUGUCCAAGAAGCUCUGUUGCUUCUGUGACCUGCACAAUCUUUUGUGUGGACUUGUCUCUCAGAGAUCCAGGACACAAGGUCAUGAACUCAUUAUUAAUUGAUGAGUAUGCCACUUAAGGAAUUAGGACAGACAUUUAAAAUUUUCCAGGAGUGACCAAAAAUGGAGGCACAACAUAUCAGAAACUAUAAGACAAAAUGAAAGCAUCUCUGAAUGGGAAGUUUAUAGCCAUAUGUGCUUAGUCUAAAAUGUCAGAGACAGCUCAAAUAAAUUAAUGGUGCACAUCAGUGUCCUAGAAAAACAAGAACAGUAUAAGUGAAUAUCCAGUGAAUAGAAGAAAGAAAGAAAUAUCUGUGCAGAAAUUGAUCAAAUGGAAAUGGAAAAGCACAAAGAAUGAAACAGUGACUGACUUGUUUCCCUGAAAAGUCAAGCAUGUUUGACUCUUAUCCAAACUAGCC
RNAcentral lists this long non-coding RNA (1918 nucleotides) under Mus musculus (house mouse). RNAcentral's name for it is "long non-coding RNA chr7:57858480-57860398". The record is from RNAcentral. Lineage: Eukaryota; Metazoa; Chordata; Mammalia; Rodentia; Muridae.